Molecule: ribosomal RNA, 460 nt
Filed under: uncultured bacterium
Lineage: Bacteria
Description: partial 16S ribosomal RNA
Rfam family: Bacterial small subunit ribosomal RNA
Source: RNAcentral
CCUACGGGAGGCAGCAGUGAGGAAUAUUGGUCAAUGGACGAGAGUCUGAACCAGCCACGUAGCGUGAAUGAUGACUGCCCUAUGGGUUGUAAACUUCUUUUAUAUGGGAAUAAAAUGUUCCACGUGUGGGAUUUUGUAUGUACCAUAUUAAUAAUGAUCGGCGAACUCCGUUCCAGCCGCCGCGGUAAUACGGAGGCUCCGAGCGUUAUCCGGAUUUAUUUUGUUUAACGGGAGCGCAAGUGGUUUGGUAAGUCAGUUGUGAAAGUUUGCGGCUUAACCGUAAUAUUGCAGUGGAAACUGGCAGGCUUGAGUACAGAAGAGGUGGGUGGAAUUCGAGGUGUAGCGGUGAAAGGCUUAGAUAUAACGAAGAACUCCGAUUGCGAAGGCAGUUCACUGGUCUGUAACUGACACUGAGGCUCGAAAGUGUGGGUAUCAAACAGGAUUAGAUACCCUGGUAGUC